RNAcentral lists this ribosomal RNA (253 nucleotides) under uncultured bacterium. RNAcentral describes it as "partial 16S ribosomal RNA". It matches the Rfam family "Bacterial small subunit ribosomal RNA", at positions 524 to 776 of the family's 1533-position model. The record is from RNAcentral.
UACGUAGGGUGCAAGCGUUGUCCGGAAUUAUUGGGCGUAAAGAGCUCGUAGGCGGUCUGUCGCGUCUGCUGUGAAAACUCAGGGCUUAACCCUGAGCUUGCAGUGGGUACGGGCAGACUAGAGUGCGGUAGGGGAGACUGGAAUUCCUGGUGUAGCGGUGAAAUGCGCAGAUAUCAGGAGGAACACCGGUGGCGAAGGCGGGUCUCUGGGCCGUAACUGACGCUGAGGUGCGAAAGCAUGGGGAGCGAACAGG